GUAGGAGUGGGUGUAAAGCCAGCGCCCAAGGUCUGCUAGGGCACUGGUUCAGACUGAAAGGAACCUGUGCCCCUGUCUGGGUGAGGGUUACUGUGUCCCUGGAUCGUGGGGUGUCCAAUAUACUCCCCAUUUUGAGCCAGUUUUGUGGCCUCCUCACCCGUGAUCCUGGACAUGUUAGAGGAACUGGGAGUCCGGCUUCCUCUGGGUGCUGUGGGGAGUGGGUACAAAACCAGCACUCAAUGUCUGCUCAGGGCAUUGGUUCAGAGCGGAAGGAUGUGCCUCCUCUUUUAAGGAUUUUGGUUUCCCUUCCAGUGUAGGAUUUACUCUUGAAUAUUUAACACUUGGAUUUUGUUUAGCAGAACUGGAAGACAGAUGCCACUCCAGGUUUUUCUAUUUGGUUUUGACUUCUACUUUGUAAAAACACUCUAGGGGAAAGUGCAGCUAAAGUGUACAAAGAUCUUAAGAAGCUCUCUCGUCUCUUCAAAGACCAGCUGGUGUACCCUCUUCUGGCUUUCACACGACAAGUGCUGAACCUCCCAGAUGUGUUUGGGCUGGUUGUCCUUCCACUGGAGCUGAAACUACGCAUCUUCCGACUUCUGGAUGUUCAUUCCGUCCUGGCUCUGUCUGCAGUCUGCCAUGACCUCCUCAUUGCAUCAAAUGACCCACUGCUGUGGAGGUGCUUGUAUCUGCGGGAUUUUCGAG
This 702-nucleotide long non-coding RNA is filed under the name Rattus norvegicus (Norway rat). RNAcentral's name for it is "long non-coding RNA NONRATT026610". Lineage: Eukaryota; Metazoa; Chordata; Mammalia; Rodentia; Muridae. The record is from RNAcentral.